UGUAAGCGUAUACCAAAGUUGUUGCAGUUAAAACGCUCGUAGUCGGAAUUUGGCAGUUCCGGAUGUGUGCACGUCGUGUGCGCACUUCGCGGGGAUUGCUUUUGUGGUCUUGCGUAGGAUGAGGCACUUUUAUUAGUGAACGUCCUCACGCAACCACUUUUUACUGUGAGAAAAUCAGAGUGCUCAAAGCAGGCAAUUGCCGUGAAUGUAUUAGCAUGGAAUAAUAGAAUAGGACUUGGUUCUAUUUUGUUGGUCUGUUGGGACUGAGUAAUGAUUAAGAGGGACAGUUGGGGGCAUUUGUAUUUCGGUGCUAGAGGUGAAAUUCUUAGAUUACCGAAAGACAAACUGCUGCGAAAGCGUCUGCCAAGGAUGUUUUCAUUGA
Molecule: ribosomal RNA, 382 nt
Filed under: uncultured eukaryote
Lineage: Eukaryota
Description: partial 18S ribosomal RNA
Rfam family: Eukaryotic small subunit ribosomal RNA
Source: RNAcentral